RNAcentral lists this unclassified non-coding RNA (207 nucleotides) under Hevea brasiliensis (rubber tree). Lineage: Eukaryota; Viridiplantae; Streptophyta; Magnoliopsida; Malpighiales; Euphorbiaceae. The record is from RNAcentral.
AGAAAUAGAAAUCAAGCAUGAUUGCGUGAGAAUUGAAUUUGAAUUCUCUUAUUGCAAAUAAUUUAUUCCGAAUAAAGCCUUUAUCUUCUUACUAGAGGAUCUAAUUGUUUAAACAAGGUCUUUAAAUUUUCUGUUUUGAUCAUAUUUUAACCUGAGGUUCGUUGCCAUUAUCAAGUUUGACUAUGGAGUGCUUCUGAUUUCAGGUUG